This 260-nucleotide ribosomal RNA is filed under the name Cephalopholis spiloparaea (strawberry hind). RNAcentral describes it as "partial 12S ribosomal RNA". Lineage: Eukaryota; Metazoa; Chordata; Actinopteri; Perciformes; Serranidae. The record is from RNAcentral.
AAUAAGGAAUGUAGCCCAUUUUUUCCCUUUCCAUACGCUACACCUCGACCUGACGUUUUGGGUUGUACCAAUUNUGCUUACUAGGGGGCCUUCAUAGGGUAAGCUGACGACGGCGGUAUAUAGGCGGGGAGAACAAGAAAAGGUGAGGUUGAACGGGGGUUAUCGGUUUCAGAACAGGCUCCUCUAGGUGGGUCUAAAGCACCGCCAAGUCCUUUGGGUUUUAAGCUGUUGCUCGUAGUUCCCAGGCGGAUAGUNGGUGU